UACGGAAGGGGCAAGCGUUGUUCGGAAUCAUUGGGCGUAAAGGGCGCGUAGGUGGUUCUGUAUGUCUACCGUGAAAGCGUACGGCUCAACCGUAUUUUGUCGGUGGAAACUGCAGGACUUGAGGCUGGGAGGGGCUGGUGGAAUUCCCUGUGUAGCGGUGAAAUGCGUAGAGAUGGGGGAGAGCACUCGUGGCGAAGGCGGCCAGCUAGACCAGUUCUGACACUGAGGCGCGACAGCGUGGGGAGCAAACAGG
Molecule: ribosomal RNA, 253 nt
Filed under: uncultured bacterium
Lineage: Bacteria
Description: partial 16S ribosomal RNA
Rfam family: Bacterial small subunit ribosomal RNA
Source: RNAcentral